UGGUGGAGUGAUUUGUCUGGUUGAUUCCGAUAACGAACGAGACGGGAGAAGCUUACUAGGUUGUUUGUUAACUCACGUUAGCAAAACCUUCUUUGCUUGACAACUUGGUUUUACCAAGAGGAAGCGUCCCGCAAUAACA
Molecule: ribosomal RNA, 139 nt
Filed under: uncultured eukaryote
Lineage: Eukaryota
Description: partial 18S ribosomal RNA
Rfam family: Eukaryotic small subunit ribosomal RNA
Source: RNAcentral